This 1058-nucleotide long non-coding RNA is filed under the name Fragaria vesca (wild strawberry). RNAcentral's name for it is "long non-coding RNA (FVES_LNC004037)". Lineage: Eukaryota; Viridiplantae; Streptophyta; Magnoliopsida; Rosales; Rosaceae. The record is from RNAcentral.
AAUUGGAUCACAACAUUGUCAGUUUUAAGAGGUCCUAAACCAAGGGAUUGAUAAACAUUGUAAGGCAUAACAUUAAUAGAAGCCCCUAAGUCUAGCAUAACUUUCUCAAACCGUGUAGAACCAAUAACACAUGGGAUGUUGAAGCUUCCUGGAUCCUUCAUCUUUGGCGGCAUCUUCCUUUGGAGUACGGCCGAAACCGUCUCACUCAUCUUAACAACUUGAGUCUCCCUUGUAUGCCUCAUCGUGCAAAGCUCUUUCAAGAACUUAGCAUACUUUGGAAUUUGUCGAAUGCACCCAAAAAAAAAAAAAUAAUUUCAAGCUUUACAAAAUCAUACAAUCGGUUAUACAAGGGUUAGACACGAAAUCUUCAGAUUUUUAUACAAUCAACACUCGAAGUUUUCAAGACAAUAUACACAAACAAAAUCUCCAAAGCUUCGCACAAAUCGUCAUUCAUCCAAAGCAUCGAAAAUUACUACAAGUAUGUGAACAACUUUCAAGCAUCGAAAUCAACAAUAUGUUCAAAUACAUGGCGUCACAACCUGGUUCUUUCUAGUUGAUUUUAUUCAAAUUGGUUUGAAGAAAAUAGAUCACAUAUACCAAGUUAUUUUCUAGCGUCUAAAGUGAGGUGAUGCUUCGGCCCAAGCUCUUGGCUAGUUCGAGCGUGUUCCGUGUUUUCAGAAGGCUGUGUCGUUAAGAAACACGGAGGGCGAACCCCCUACAGGAACCAGGCAGGACUCGUUUAGUGGUCACGGAGAGCGAACUCCCAAUCGACCCCUUCACUGAGAAGAGAUAUCAGUCUAUGACCUUGAGAUCCAGUUAAACAAACCUGAGAACCAUAUCUAUGAAAAUAACUUGCCCCUUACUCAGUUGAGAACAAACUCGGGUCACUAGACCGGUCUACAAGUGUUAAUCAAAGCCGCCCUCAACCUCAUGAGAUCAUAAGAUAACAUGAAGGGUUAAGGCUAAGAUUAACAAAAGUGGCUUCCCCCUACAUAUUUCACUUUAGAAGCUACAAUAAACUCAAACAUACAUAAAACUAUAAACUUCCUAGAAAUUAA